Long non-coding RNA from Notothenia coriiceps (black rockcod), 136 nucleotides. RefSeq lists it as uncharacterized. The record is from RefSeq and is a predicted model, not a curated record. Lineage: Eukaryota; Metazoa; Chordata; Actinopteri; Perciformes; Nototheniidae. The transcript is spliced from 3 exons.
CUAGUGAGGAAGCUGAAUUUAUUCCAGAAAGUGGCCAUAUCUGUUCUCUCUGUGCGGAUUUUGACUACCAUGAGAAGUGUUGCGACCAUUGGAUAUAGAGAGCACAAAAUGGAAAUGAUUAUCUCUACUGUGGACA